RNAcentral lists this transfer RNA (68 nucleotides) under Praomys hartwigi. RNAcentral describes it as "tRNA-Thr". Lineage: Eukaryota; Metazoa; Chordata; Mammalia; Rodentia; Muridae. The record is from RNAcentral.
GUCCUAAUAGUAUAUAUUAUUACUUUGGUCUUGUAAACCAAAAAUGAAGAAAUUAUCUUCUUAGGACA